GGGUUGGUUUUUGGUAGUGCGAUUAACUUGUUGUAACUUUGUAAUUUUUGGGUUAUAUAGUUUGUGUUUGCUUCUGGAUAUUUAUGGCUCUGGGUUUAAGGUUUAGGUAAAUCUGUAUUUUGUGGAUGUUUUAUAUGUAUGCUCGAGUUAUAUGGUUAUAGGCUUUUCUAUCUUGGUUUAAACUUUCUCGAUAUAUGGUAGUUUGUAGAGUAUAAACAAGGGGUCUUUUUGUGUUUUUUGGUAUAAAUGGUUUUUCAAAUAUCUUGUUCAUGUUCUGAUAUCUUUGUCCACUAACUCCUUUCCUUAUACCUGCAGUUUUAGAUUAAUAAAUGUCAUGGGUUUUGUGGAGUG
Molecule: long non-coding RNA, 351 nt
Filed under: Capsicum annuum
Lineage: Eukaryota; Viridiplantae; Streptophyta; Magnoliopsida; Solanales; Solanaceae
Description: long non-coding RNA (CANN_LNC001146)
Source: RNAcentral